UGCCUUGAUCUUGGCCAACCCUCCUCAGG
RNAcentral lists this non-coding RNA (29 nucleotides) under Mus musculus (house mouse). Lineage: Eukaryota; Metazoa; Chordata; Mammalia; Rodentia; Muridae. The record is from RNAcentral.